AGAGUUUGAUCCUGGCUCAGGACGAACGUUGGCGGUGCGCUUAAUGCAUGCAAGUCGAGGGAGAACCAUUCGAUCCGUAAGGACCGAAUGGGGAAACCGGCGAACGGGUGCGUAACACGUGAGGAACCUGCCCCGAAGACCGGGAUAGCCCGAGGAAACUCGGAUUAAUACCGGAUACCCUCUUCGGACCACAUGGUCCGUUGAGGAAAUGGUCCGCCGCUUCGGGAUGGCCUCGCGGCCUAUCGGCUUGUUGGUGAGGUAACGGCUCACCAAGGCAAAGACGGGUAGCUGGUCUGAGAGGACGAUCAGCCACACUGGGACUGAGACACGGCCCAGACUCCUACGGGAGGCAGCAGCAGGGAAUAUUGCACAAUGGGCGAAAGCCUGAUGCAGCGACACCGCGUGCGGGAUGAAGGCCUUCGGGUUGUAAACCGCUUUCAGGAGCGACGAAAAUGACGGUACCUCCAGAAGAAGGCCCGGCCAACUACGUGCCAGCAGCCGCGGUAAUACGUAGGGGCCAAACGUUGUCCGGAUUUAUUGGGCGUAAAGGGCUCGUAGGCGGUUCAACAAGUCGAUCGUGAAAGCCCGGGGCUCAACCCCGGGACGCCGGUCGAAACUGUUGUGACUAGGGUCCGGUAGAGGUGAGUGGAAUUCUCGGUGUAGCGGUGGAAUGCGCAGAUAUCGAGAGGAACACAGUUG
This 699-nucleotide ribosomal RNA is filed under the name uncultured bacterium. Its description in RNAcentral is "bacterial SSU rRNA". It matches the Rfam family "Bacterial small subunit ribosomal RNA", at positions 8 to 714 of the family's 1533-position model. The record is from RNAcentral.